Long non-coding RNA from Peromyscus leucopus (white-footed mouse), 1450 nucleotides. RefSeq lists it as uncharacterized. The record is from RefSeq and is a predicted model, not a curated record. The transcript is spliced from 2 exons. NCBI's taxonomy places the organism in Eukaryota, Metazoa, Chordata, Mammalia, Rodentia, Cricetidae.
UAAACAUUUUAAACAACCUAGCUUCUUAUUUAGUCAUAUAUUAGUUUUUCAUUAGCAUACCAAAUAACAAGCAGGCAGGUAUUAUAUUUAUAAUAAUUUUGAAGCAUUUAUAGGUAUGGGUGGCAUUUCAAGUCUCUUUUUUAUUUUAUUUUUUUAAUCUGUAUGUACACGGGUGUUUUGCCUGCAUACAUGUCAGUGUACCACAUGUGUGUAGGACUGCUCCAACAUCAAGUUUCUAUAAAUGUUCAACUAGCCCGUCCAGCUACCCCUGUUCAGAUUAAACAAUACCCAAUGACUCUGGAAACAAAAAGGGAAACUGCAGUCAUAUUGUCUGGCUUGGAAAGACAGACAUCCCGGUGCCCUCCCAGUCACCCUGGAAUAUGCCUCUCCUGCCUAUGAAGAAACCUGGGACCACUGGUUCUCAUGAGUCUGACUCUUCCAGAGAAACAUGUGUACACCAUCUUGGAUCUGAAAAAUGCAUUCUUCAGCCUCCCAUCGGCAGAGGAAUAGGACUUGUCAUCUCUCAUGAAUCUUCUGGAGGCUACAACAACUACCACUGUCCAGACAAAACAUCUGGCUGGAAACUUUCGAGACAAACUUGAUCAGGCAAUGAGUCAUUUCAAAGACAGAUGCGCUCUCUGGCUGGGGUCGUGCUCCCAAACAGAAGAACACUAGACCUAAUAACUGCUGAUCAUAGGGGGACUGGCUUGGUAUUGGGGAACAAAUGUCGCUUCUAUGUAAACAAAUGUGAAAACUAAUGUCAACACCCCCCCCAAAACUCCACAAAGACCUACUCUCAAAAUUCCAGCCCAUAGAGCAAAGUAGCUGCUUCCAUGAUCCCUUAUUUUCUUGGCUCCUACCCCUUUUCAGUCCUCUUAUUAUGCUGUUUUGUUUUGAUGCUUGCCCCUGCCUUAUUCAGUUCCUCCGGUGACAGAUCGCCAUCAUUGCUAAAAUUACCACCAGUCAGGUCCUGGUUCAUUACCAGGCCCAGAACCUUCUUGACACAGGCACCAGGUUCCUCAAGGCUUAUGAUGACACCUCUCUAUUAUAAAACAAAACGGGGGGAGAUGUCGGAAGGUCCUGCUGAUGAGAGGUUGCAGUCUGCCAUAGCCUGGCAGCUUUCUCUAACCUCAGCAACAUGGAGGACUCCCUCUCCUCCACAAAAGCUUCCUGUCCUCUAACCAGCCUUAUCUGGAGGAUGUCUCUAGGCCCAGGAUGCUUGACUUAUCUCAAGGGUGACCUUUGACAGAGAUACCUACAAACUCUCUUCCCUUGAUGACCCACAUGGUCAGUAGGCAAGAGCUCUAGCCAUUUGGAUAGGACCCUACUGCCACAUACCAGGCCUUGUGAUAGAAGCAUGCCACUUACUGCAAAUUAGGGUUUGUUCCCAGGUUCCCCAAUCCUGUAUAUUCCUUAUUCAGUGGGAAUAAAGCAGAGCUGAUUCACCAAA